GAUGAACGCUGGCGGCGUGCCUAAUACAUGCAAGCCGAGCGAACAGACGAGAGUGCUUGCACUCUCUGACGUUAGCGGCGGACGGGUGAGUAACACGUGGGUAACCUACCUAUAAGACUGGGAUAACUUCGGGAAACCGGAGCUAAUACCGGAUAAUAUUUAGCUUCGCAUGAAGCAAUAGUGAAAGACGGUUCUGCUGUCACUUAUAGAUGGACCCGCGGUGUAUUAGCUAGUUGGUGAGGUAACGGCUCACCAAGGCAACGAUACAUAGCCGACCUGAGAGGGUGAUCGGCCACACUGGGACUGAGACACGGCCCAGACUCCUACGGGAGGCAGCAGUAGGGAAUCUUCCGCAAUGGACGAAAGUCUGACGGAGCAAUGCCGCGUGAGUGAAGAAGGUUUUCGGAUCGUAAAACUCUGUUGUAAGGGAAGAACAAGUACGUAGUAACUGAACGUACCUUGACGGUACCUUACCAGAAAGCCACGGCUAACUACGUG
Molecule: ribosomal RNA, 498 nt
Filed under: uncultured bacterium
Lineage: Bacteria
Description: partial 16S ribosomal RNA
Rfam family: Bacterial small subunit ribosomal RNA
Source: RNAcentral